This 15841-nucleotide long non-coding RNA is filed under the name Homo sapiens (human). RNAcentral's name for it is "HSALNT0383046". The record is from RNAcentral. Lineage: Eukaryota; Metazoa; Chordata; Mammalia; Primates; Hominidae.
GCAGUAGGAGCCCCUACGUAGGCCCUGCAAGAGGCCUGGCGUUCAGGAAAGGGCCCGCUGACCAUCCAGUGCAGGGAAAGGAGUCCAGCUCUGGCCUCUGCCCCUCAGCUCCACCUCCUGCAUUCCUAGGAGUUCUCCAGAGGAUCUGAUGGGAGCUCAGAACCGGUCCCAACAGGUACUGUGACGCGAUGGCCAUUUUCCUUCCCUUUACCACUGUGCCCCCCUCCCCCCACUGCAGGGACGUCCCCUGGGGCGUCUCUGUGCCCAUGCCCCAUUGGGCGCCUCCUCUCAGCCCAGCCCCCUCCACACUGUAUUGUCUCCUUAGCCGUGAGCUCCAUGAGAGCAGGGUGUGCCCAGGUCACUGUUGUCUCCCCAGUGCCCGGCACAGUGCCUGGCACAUCAUAGAUGCCCCGUGCUCCUACACCAACGAACUCCCCUGACAGCACCACAUCCACGGGGAGCUAGGCCUCAGGGAACAAAGUGGUGCCUGGCUGAGGCACCCACGCAGGGCCUGUUCUUUUGUUUGAGACGGAGUCUCACUCGUUACCCAGCCCAGAUUGCAGUGGCGCAAUCUCGGCUCACUGCAACCUCCACCUCCUGGGUUCAAAUGAUUCUCCUGCCUCAGCCUCCUGAGUAGUUGCGAUUAUAGGCGUGCACCACCAUGCCCGACUAAUUUUUGUAUUUUUAGUAGAGACGGCUUCACAUGUUGGCCAGGCAAGUCUCAAACUCCUGACCUCAGGUGAUCCACCCACCUUGGCCUCCCAAAGUGCUGGAAUUACAGGUGUGAGCCACCGUGCCUGGCUCGGACUUGUUCUUGAGGAUGACGGAACGGGGGUUUUGCUGUUAGGCCAGCCAACAAAAUGGACAAGAAAGACGGGGGAGAGAAGUGAGAUCCUUCCCGCCAGAGCCUGAGGCUAAUGCAGGCCGUGCUGGGCCUCAUGCUCCAGGCCAGCCUGGAAGAGCCCAAAGCCAGUUUCCUUCCAAUGCUGCAUAUAUUACCCAGCAUUCUUAGAUGGAAAGUCCAGUUUCUUUUGCUUUUUUUGUGUAUGCACUUCAGGAAUUUUUUAAGCUAAUUGACUGAAGGGCUCAUGUGCCUAGGAAUAGCAAUCCUAAUAAGCUUUUGCGGAAUCUCCCUGGUUUCAGACCAAGGCUGUGAAUGUCCCAACUCACUUCUGUUCUUGGUGAGUUUUGCUUGUGUUUGUGAACGAGGUGAAUUCAUUAAACACAGCAGUGGCCCCUGCCCAGUGCUGGCUCCCUACAAUGACCACUUCAAUUGCACUGACCCAGAUGCAAUGGAUUCCACCGCAGAAGUGCAUUUAACUCAAAUGCAAACAUAACUGGAAGGUGACACAAGUCCUGAAAUCCCUGGUUGUGCAGACUCAUCAGUGCCUAGCCACUGGUCACUAGCAUGUUUUCAUUUUUCUCCAGCUCCCUCCACCCUUCAUGAACGGGGGCUGGAAAAUGUGGUCUGCUCUGAUAAGGAUUUGCGUCAGGCUACUGGCUACUCAGCAGCCGAGAAGAGCAAGCCUCCAGGCCUCUGCACGCGUGCCUUCUGCCCGGUGAGCCUCUCACUAUCGUCCUUCUAAAAGACACUUCAAAAAGAGGCAAAAUCAUGCCUUCCAUACAUAUAUUAAAAAAAGAAUAUGUGUCAAAUAUUUUAUUCUACUCCUAAACCAAUUUAAGGAAACCAGGCAGAUGUUACAACUGGUUCAAAUGAAAUCCUAAGAACAGACACAUUUAAUAAUCAGGAAUAUGGAAAAGAACAUGCAAAUGGGAGCUGGGCACAGCGGCUCAUGCCUGUAAUUCCAGCACUUUGGGAGGCCGAGGUGGGUGGAUCACCUGAGGUCAGGAGUUCGAGACCAGCCUGGCCAACAUGGUAAAACCCCGUCUCCACCAAAAAAAAAAAAAAAAAAAAAAAAAUUAGCUGGGCAUGGUGGCACAUGCCUGUAAUCCCAGCUACUCAGUAGGCUGAGGCAGGAGAAUCGCUUGAGCCUGGGAGGUGGAGGUUGCAGUGAGCCAAGAUUGCACUAUUGCAUUCCAGCCUAGGCAACAAAAGCAAAACUCCAUCUCAAAAAACAACAACAACAACAACAAAAACACGCAAAUGGGGGCAAAGCUAGGGAGGGGAGAGUCAACUGGUCUCCUACUGGAGUUUGGAAUCUGCAGGUCUGUAGAGAAGCAAAAUUUUGCAUUGCUAUCACUAACCUACAAGUUAAAGAGUUGUAAGUAGUCUUCAUAGAAUGGAGUCAGAUAAUCCAAGGGAGGUCCUGGAGAGUCUAGAUAAUGCACAGUUUUUCAAAGAUGUACAACUGUUUUCAAAGAUGUACAAAUAUGUACAACUCUGACCACUGAUGUCCUUCACCUGGCCAACUUAACCCACACCUCCUCCAGGAAGCCAUCCCUGAUGCCCAAGACUGGGUUAAGUGCCAGCCCCUGGGCUCCCUCAGUGCCUUGAAUUUCUGAUCACACUGUUCCGUCUCCCUCAUCAGAUCUAUGAGAUUUUUUUUUUUUUUAAGACAGAGUCUCACUGUGUCACCCAGGCUGGAGUGCAGUGGCACAGUCAUAGCUCACUACAGCCUCAAACUCCUGGGCUCAAGGGAUCUUUAGCCUCCCCAGUAGCUGGGACUACAAGUGUAUGCCACCAUGCCCAGCUAAUUUUUAAGUUGUCAAGACAAGGUCUUGCUUUGUUACCCAGGCUGGUCUCGAACUCCUGGGCUCAAGCAAUUUGCCUGCCUCGGCCUCCCAAAGUGCUGGGAUUACAGGUGUGAGCCACUGUGCCUGGCCUGAUCUAUGAGAUCCUUAAAACAGAAGCUGUGUCUUACCCACCUCUCACUGUGCCUUUGAGAAUCAAGGGACACGUGGUUGAAUGAAUGAAUGAAUGAAUGAGAGAAAAAAUGAACAAUACAGGGUCCUAAGCCAAAGUGGUCCACAGGGCCCCCAUAAACCCGUAAAAGACUGACGAGACAGCUGUUGAAGGUCUGCAUGUGUACCUGUGAACACAGACAGGCUUCAAUCUCAAUCUUAAUAAGGGCUCCUCAGAAAUGAAGCUCAGGAAGCAAACAAACAUGGGAAAUGAUGGCUAAACACAAACAGGUGGGUUUUGCUUUUAUUUCCUUUUAACCAUAGGACUCCUGAGUCCUUGUAAUAUAUAGUAAAGAGUCUUGCUCUGUUGCCCAGGCUGGAGUGCAGUGGCACAAUCACAGCUCACUGCAGCCUCGAACUCCUGGGCUCGAGCCAUCCUCCUGCUUCAGGCUCCUGAGUAGCUGCGACUACAGGUGUGCACCACCACACCCAGCUAAUUUUUAAAAAAUUCUUUUAAGAGACAAGAUCUCACUAUGUUGCCCAAGCUGGUCUCAAACUCCUGGGCACAAGCAAUCCUCCCACCUCAGCCUCCCGAGUAGCUGGGACCACAGACACACGCCACCAUGCCUGGCUAAUUUUUGUAUUUUUUGUUGAGACAGGGUCUCUCUAUGUUGCACAGGCUAGUCUCGAACUCCUGGGUUCAAGCGAUCCUCCUGCCUCAUCCUCCCAAAGUGCCGGGAUUACAGGCGUGAGCCACUGUGCCCAGGCUAACAGCCUUUAAUAUAUUAAAGUACCCCAGGAGGGAGAAUGCAAUGUUUCCAUGUUUUCCUUAUCUGACUAUAAAACAAUUUUUUUAAUGGACCAGAGACGAUGGAUUCAUGGAGUUACUGUGAGGAAGACACUCAGCAUCGUGCCUGGUAUCGUGUGUGCUUCAUAAACGCCAGCCAUAGCAUGAUUCUUUAUAAAGGCACCAGCUGCAUUUAUGGAGUAAAUGCCUUUCUUGUGUCAUCUCGCUUGACUGGCAAAGCCAUAAGGCCAGGUGAGGAAGAUGAGGCAGGGGAUGAAGAGGAUAUAACACGUAGGAGGUGAAGUCACUAACCCAAAUCCUUGCAGCCGGCAAGUGGUCAGAAUUCUUGGACCAGGUGUGAGGCCUUAAGAGAACAAGCUAGCCCAGGGCUUGGCAUGAAGUAGGUGCUUAAUAAAGAUUGGUUUUAGCCAGGCGCAGUGGCUCAUGCCUGUAAUCUCAGCACUUUGGGAGGCUGAAGCAGGAGGAUCACUUGAGCCCAGGAGUUCCAGACCAGCCUGGGCAACACGGCUAAUCCCUGUCUCUACUAAAAAUACAAAAAGAUUAGUCGGGUGUGGUGGCGCGUGCCUGUAAUCCCAGCUACUCGGGAGGCUGAGGCAGGAGAAUAGCUUGAACCUGGGAGGUAGACUUUGCAAUGAGCCAAGAUCGCACCACUGCACUCCAGCCGGGGCAACAGAGCAAGACUGUCUCAAAAAAAAAAAAAAAAAAAAAAAAAAAAAGACUGGUUUCUACCAUGCCUCCCUCCUCCCUCCUUCCCAUUCAGCCCAGAGGUUCUGGCAGGGCAGACAGAGCUCCAGGCCAAGGACCCCCAGGUGGAUGUACAGAGCAGACCCAGGCUGAGCCCAAUCUUUCCACCCUGCAGUUCAGCUCCUCCCUCCCCUUUCUCUUCCCAGUCUUCCUGAACCUGCACCUGGCCUCUCUGCACACCCCCGCGUUAUUUGGGGAUGUAAGAACUCAGGGUUCCCUCCCUUAUUACUUCUCCUUGUCCAUCCUGGUGAUAGUGCUUGACUCUCAACACACAAAAGGGGCUUUAAAAUGAUCCUUUGAAAAAAUAAUUUUUUUGCUGGGCACAGUGGCUCACGCCUGUAAUCCCAGCUCUUUGGGAGGCCAAGACAGGCGGAUCACCUGAGGUUGGGAGUUCAAGACCAGCCUGAUCAACAUGGAGAAACCCCGUCUCUACUAAAAAUACAAAAUUAGCUGAGCGUGGUGGUGCAGCUCUUCGGGAGGCUGAGGCAGGAGAAUCGCUUGAACCCAGGAGGCGGAGGUUGCAGUGAGCCGAGAUCAUGCCAUUGUACUCCAGCCUGGGCAACAAGAGUGAAACUCUGUCUCAAAAAAAAAAAAAAAAAAGAAAGAAAAAAAAGAAAAAAUAAUUCUUUAAAACUCUUUUUUAGAGACAGGGUCUCACUCCAUCACCCAGGCUGGAUGUCAUCAUAGUUCACUGUAACCUUGAACUUCUGGGCUCAAGCAAUUCUCCAGCCUCAGACUCCUGAGUAGCUGGGACCACAGGCGCAUACCACCACGCCUGGCUAAAACUGGUUCCUUUUUUUUUUUUUUGAGACAGUGCCUUGUCCUGUCCCCCGGGCUGCAGUGCAAUGGCACAAACACUGCCCACUGCAGCCUUGACCUCCUGGGCUCAAGCGAUCUUCCCCUACAGCCUCCCAAAGUGCUGGGAUUAAAGGCAUGAGCCACCGUGCCCAGCCUAAAAAUGGUCUUGAUUCAAUGAGUGAGUAAAUGAAGCCUGUGCCCAGGGCCUGCCAGGCCCCCUGGGGCUGCCCACAGGGUAAACACAGACCCACACGGAGCCCCACUCCAGGCCUGGUCGAAAAAAAUGCUGCUCCAGCUGAAGGCUUUCUCAGAGAAAUGACUCAGCCUGAGCACUCAGAUGCAACUUCCACGUUUUAUGGACUGAAGGUGCUUUCAUAACAGCUGGUGAUGAUGAGCCAGAGGCGGGCUAUAAACAGAGCGGUGAUCUGGUCCUGAACACUCAGGUCUCAGCCCCCACCCACAAGCAGGGCCUCUGAGGCUGUGGCUUCUCCACACUGGUGCUGCUUUGUGCUGGCAAAUAGCACAGGCCCCCAAAAUGACCUGGAGGCUCCUUAACUGAGGAGGCAGAUGAGUGACAGGGCCAGACCUGCAGCCUCAAGGGCCUGGCUGUGCCCUCCCUAGCUCCCUUGGGCCUGGGAGCCUUCCAUGAACCUGUGGCCUGGGACCAAGAGCAUGGGGGGCCUAGUGAUGUGCCUGGUGGGGAGCGGGGAGUGCUGCCAGCAAUGACAGUCCCGCUGGGGGGACGUGGUACAGACUCACUGAGACACAGAACCCUGUGAGCAAGGGGGGUUCACUUAAUCCUCCCUGAGGACUCAGACAGGUGGGCUGCAGGCAGUGGGGUAGCCUUGCCUCUCACUCAUGCCCACCCACCCAUUUGCUCAUUCAUUCAGACAAGCGUGGAUUGAGUAUUUUCUUUUUUUUUCUUUUAAAGACAGGGUUUUGCUCUGUCGCUCAGGCUGAAGUGCAGUGGCAUGAUCUCAGCUCACUACAGCCUCAUCCUCCCAGGCUCAACCGAUCCUCCUGCCUCGGCCUCUCAAAGUAUUGGGAUUACAGGCGUGGCCCACGCCUGGUGAAUUGAGCACUUUCUUUCUUUUUCUUUUUUUUUUUUUUUUUUUUGAGAUGGAGUCUCACUCUGUCAUCCAGGCUGGAGUGCAGUGGCAUGACCUCGGCUCACUGCAACUUCUGCCUCCCGGGUUCAAGUGAUUCUCCUGCCUCAGUCUCCCAAGUAGCUGGGAUUACAGGCACCCACCACCACGCCCGGCUAGUUUUGUAUUUUUAGUAGAGAUGGGGUUUUACCAUGUUGGCCAGGCUGUUCUUGAACUCCUGACCUCAGGUGAUCCAUCCGCCUCGGCCUCCCAAAGUGUUAGGAUUACAGGCGUGGGCCACUGCGCCUGGCAAAUUGAGCACUUUCUUUUUUUUUUUUUGAGACCGGGUCUUGCUCUGUCACCAGGCUGGAGUGCAGUGGCCCAAUCUCAGCUCACUGCAACCUCCACCUCCCAGGUUCAAGCGAUUAUCCUGCCUCAGCCUCCAAGUAGCUGGGAUUACAGGCACGCGCCAUCACGCCCGGCUAAUUUUUUGUAUUUUAGUAGAGACAGGGUUUCACCGUGUUAGCCAAGAUGGUCUCGAUCUCCUAACCUCAUGAUCCACCCACCUUGGCCUCCCAAAGUGCUGGGAUUACAGAUGUGAGCCACCGUGCCCUGCCAAAUCGAGCACUUUCUAAGUGCCCACCUGUCAGCGUCACCCCAGGCUUUCCCAUCUCAGCCCGUGGCUCCACUCUCCUCUAGCUACUUUGGCCAAAAACCACAGAGUCAUCUUGGAUCCCAAUUUUUGCUUCACCCCCACAUCCAAUCUUUCGGCGAGUCCCGUCUGCUUUACCUCGGCACAUCAUCAGUGCGCUCAGUGCACUUCCCAGCCACCUCCCACGCUGGGCUGCUAACCUUCUGCCAGGUCACCAUAGCUACCACCAGCUCCUCCUGACCCUUUGGCCUUGGUCUCUAAAACCCAUUCUCCUCUCAUCAGAGUGACCUCAUCCCAGCAUCAUUCUGACCAUUUCUCAUCUUAAAGUCCUCAAAAGGGUCCUAUCAGAUAUUAACAAUUUUUAAAGAAAUUAAGACAGAAUGGCUUUGGCAUCUGGCUAUUAAAAAAAAAGGGUAGGGGGGGCCGAGUGCGGUGGCUCAUGCUUGUAAACCCAGAACUUUGGGAGGCCAAGGUGGGAGGGUCCCUUGAGCCCAGGAGUUCGAGACCAGCCUGGGCAACACAGAGAGACCCUGUCUUUACAAAAACAAAAUUAGCUGGGUGUGGCGGCACAUGCCUGUAGUCCUAGCUACUUGGGAGACUGAGGUGGCAGGAUCACUUGAGCCUGGGAGGUUGAGGCCGCGGUGAGCUGAGAUCAUGCCACUGCACUCCGGCCUGGGUGACAGAGUGAGAGCCCAUUUAAAAAUGAAAAAUAAAGGGAAAAAAAAGGACAGAACAGGAGUCCCGGAGACAGAACCUUGCAUAAAUGAGAAUUUGCCGUAUGACAGAGAAGCAUCACCAACCAGUGGGGAAAAGAUAGACUCUUUUAUAAAUGGCGUUGGGACAAGUGGUGAUCCAUAUGGGAAAGUAAAAUUAGAUCCCCACCUAACACCACACACACAACUCCAGGUGGAUUCAGGACUUACAUGUGAAUAACAAAAUUUUAACACAUUUAGAAGAAAAUAUAGAAGAAUAUUUUUAUGACCUCAGGGUAAGGAACAAUUUCUUUUUUAAAUAAACUUUUUGUUUGAUUACAACAUGCAUAGUGUACAAGUCAUAAGGGUGCCGCUUGAUGAAAUUUCACAGUGACCCCAGCUGUGUAGCCAGCAUCCAGAUCAACAAGCGGGAUGUAAGGCCAGGCACGGUGGCUCACUCCUGUAAUCCCAACACUUUGGGAGGCCGAGGAGGGCGGAUCAGAAGGUCAGGAGUUUGAGACCAGCCUGGCCAAUAUGGUGAAACCCCGUCUCAACUAAAAAUACAAAAAUUAGCCCGGCAUGGUGGCACACACCUGUAGUCCCAGCUACUUGGGAGGCUGUGGCAGAAGAAUCGCUUGAACCCUGGAGGCGGAGUUUGCAGUAACCCGAGAUCGUGCCACUGCACUCCAGCCUGGCGAAAGGGCGAGAAUCCGUCUAAAAAAAAUAAAAAUAAAAAACACAACAACAAAUGGGACAUAGCCAGUGCCUUCCAAAGCCCCCACGUGCCUCUUUUUUUCUUUCUUUUUUUUUUUUGUUUGAGACGGAGUCUUGCUCUGUUGCCCAGGCUGGAGUGCAGUGGCAUGAUCUCGGCUCACUGAAACCUCCGCCUCCUGGAUUCAAGCAACUCUCCUGCCUCAGCCUCCUGAGUAGCUGGGACUACAGGCACACACCACCAUUCCUGGCUAAUUCUUUUUUUAUUUUUAGUAGAGACGGGGUUUCACCAGUUGGCCAGGAUGGUCUCGAUCUCCUGACCUCAUGAUCCACCCGCCUCAGCCUCCCAAAAUGCUGGGAUUGCAGGUGUGAGCCACCACACUCAGCCUUCUUUUUUUUUUUUUUUUUUUUUUUUUGAGACGGAGUUUUGCUCUUGUUGCCCAGGUUGGAGUGCAAUGGCACGGUCUCGGCUCACCGCAGCCUCCCCUUCCUGGGUUCAAGUGAUUCUCCUGCCUCAGCCUCCCCAGUAGCUGGGAUUACAGGCAUCCGCCACCACACUCGGCUAAUUUUUUUUUUUUUUCUUUAGUAGAGACAGGGUUUCUCCAUGUUGGUCAGGCUGGUCUCAAACUCCCGAUGCCAGGUGAUCCUCCCGCCUCAGCCUCCCAUAGUGUUGGGAUUACAGGCGUGAGCCACCGUGCCCAGCCUUUUUUUUCUUUUCUUUUCUUUUUUUUGAGAUGGAGUCUCACUCUGUUGCCCAGGCUGGAGUGCAAUGCAAUGGCGUGAUCUCAGCUCACUACAACCUCUACCUCCCGGAUUCAAGCGAUUCUCCUGUCUCAGUCUCCCAAGUAGCUGGGAUUACAGGUGUGUUCUACCACGCCCAGAUAAUUUUUGUAUUUUUAGUAGAGACAGGGUUUCACCAUGUUGGCCAGGCUGGUCUUGAACUCCUGACAUCAAGUGAUCCACCUGCCUCAGCCUCCCAGAGUGCUGAGAUUACAGGUGUGAGCCACGGCACCCAGCUCCUCAUGCCUUUUGACAGGAAAGAGUAUCUUAGGCACAAAAGGUAUCAGCUACAAUGGAAAAAAAUUGAUGAGUCUGAUGAUAUUGACAUUUAAAUCUUAAGUUCAACAAAAAAAAAUGCCACAAGAUUAAAGGAUACGUACAGCUGAGCACCAUGACUCGUAUCUGUAAUCCCAGCAUUUUGGGAGACUGAGGCAGGCAGAUUACUUGAGCUGAGGAGUUUGAGACCAGCCUGGGCAACAUGGCAAAACUCUGUCUCUACAAAAAAUACAAAAAUUAGCCAGGUGUGGUGGCGUAUGCCUGUAGUCCCAGUUACUUGGAAGGCUGAGGUGGGAGAAUCACUGGAACCUGGGAGGCAGAGGUUGCAGUGAGCUGAGACUGGGCCACUGCACUCCAGCCUGAGUGACAGAGCAAGACCCUGUCUCAAAAAUAAAUAAAUAAAUAAAUAAAUAAAUAAAUAAAUAACAGAUAUGCACAAUAUGGAGGAAAUAUCUGCAAUAUAAUCAGCAAAUUGGUAUCCAGAAUAUGUAAAGGUCUUCUGCAAAUCAAGAAGAGAGACAACCAACCCAACAGAAAAUUUGGCACAGGUUAUGAACCUUAUAGGAAAAAAAAGCCUAGAUGGCCAAUAAUCAUAUGAAAAAGAGGCUCUGGGCUGGGCAUGGUGGUUCAUGUCAAUAAUCCCAGCAAUUUGGGAGGCCAAGGUGGGAGGAUCACUUGAGUCCAGGAGCUGGAGAACAGACUGGGCAGCAAAGUGAGACCUCGUCUCUACAGAAAACAAAAUAAUUAGCCGGGCAUGAUGGUGCAUGCCUGUAGUCCCAGCUACUCUGGAGGCUAAAGCAGGGGGAUGGAUUGAAUCCAGCAGAUGGAGGCUACAGUGACCUAUGAUCAUGCCACUGCAUUCCAGCUUGGGCAGCAGAGUGAGACCCUGCCUCAAAAACAGAAAAAGUCUCUGUCUCAAUAGUAUCAGAGACAUGUAAAUUUUUUUUUGAGAUAGUCUCACCCUGUUGCCCAGGCUGGAGUGUACUGGUGCAGUCUCAGCUCACUGCAACCUCCACCUCCUGGGUUCAAGCAAUUCUCCUGCCUCAGCCUCCCAAGUAGCUGGGAUUACAGGUGUGCACCACCACGCCUGGCUAAUUUUUGUAUUUUUAGUAGAGACGAGGUUUUGCCAUGUUGGCCAGGCUGGUCUCGAACUCCUGACCUCAAGUGAUCCACCCACAUUAGCCUCCCAAAGUGCUGGGAUUACAGGCGUGAGCCACUGCGCCUGGCUGAGAAAGGUAAAUUAAAACAACAAGGAGAUAUUAUGUCUCACCCAUCAGAUAAUUUAAAAUGGAAGAAAACAUAAAAGCUGAUAUUAUUAAAUGUAGACCCAAAUGAGACUCCUUAAAAACACCAGCUCUGGGCUGGGCGCGGCGGCUCAUGCCUGUAAUCCCAACACUUUGGGAGGCCGAUAUGGGUGGAUCACGAGGUCAGGAGAUGGAGACCAUCCUGGCUAACACCGUGAAACCACAUCUCUCCUAAAACUACAAAAAAUUAGCCCAGCAUGGUGGCACGCACCUGUAGUCCCAGCUACUCGGGAGGCUGAGGCAGGAGAAUCACUUAAACCGCAGAGGCAGAGGUUGCAGUGAGCCAAAAUCACAUCAUUGCACUCCAGGCUGGGCAAAAGAGCAAGACUUCGUCUCAAACAAACAGACAAACAAAUAAAAACCCACCAGCUCUGGAGAAGAUUGGUAAAGCCACUUGGAAGUGACACAAAAUGGCAGCUUGAAGGUCAGGUCAAGAUCAGGGUGAAGGUGAGAACAUCUGUGAGCAUUCCUCUUCCAGGCAGAGACUCUACAGAAGCUCUAUGAGCAUCCCAGGAGGAAGAAAUUGGAAACGUCAUCAAGGAGAUACACAAGGUAUGAUACACUCAUACAAUGGAAAAUGGCCGGACAAAUGAAAGAAACAACAUCAAAGUGAAUUAUCAUAAGAUACACCAAGCAGGGCCAGGGUGGGGCCAGGUCCACCUCUCCUGUUGCCCAAUCUUGAAGGUGGCAGAGGACCUUUGAGGCACCUUGCUGGCCCACUGAGGAGCUGUGGCCGAGGCACACGCCCAUCAGGGCUGACUCCUUGCUGGGAACUGGGUCAGGUGGAUGGACGUGGUGACGAGCAACAGUGAGGUUUCCCCCACAUCCUUUCACCUGCCCUGCUGCGUCUGCUGCUGAGUCAGGAUCCAUCUGGGGAGCCACCGUGGGACACUCUCCCCUAUGGGAGAGUGGUAAGGUUCUGGAGUAACACAUGGGACUGGAAAUGUUUCUGUGGCCAUUUUUAUUUUUAUUUAUUUUUUUAAGACAGAGUCUUGCUCUGUUGCUCAGGCUGGAGUGCAGUACUGUGAUCUCAGCUCACUGCAACCUCUGCCUGUGGGAGUUCAAGCAAUUCUUCUGUCUCAGCCUCCCAAGUAGCUGGGAUUACAAGCACCCACCACCACGCCUGGCUAAUUUGUGUAUUUUUAGUAGAGAUGGGGUUUCACCAUGUUGGCUAGUCUGGUGUCAAACUCCCGACCUCAGGUGAUCUGCCCAUCUGAGACUCCCAAAGUGCUGGGAUUACAGAGCUGAGUGACAGAGUGAGACUCUGUCAAAAAAAAAAAAAAAAAAAAAGAAAGGAAGGAAGAGAAAUAGAAAGAAAGAAAGAAAAAGAAAGAAAGAAAGAAAAGAAAGAAAGAAAAGCUGGAAUGAGUCAGGGCAGAAUCAUAGAAUGUCUGGGUGUGAAUCCUGGCUUCCCUCCUUUCCAGUGAAGCAACCUUGGGCGAGUGGCUUGACCACUCUGUGCCUGUUUCCUCACCUGUAGCAGUUAGGAAUGCAUUUGGCUGCAGGUAACUGCAGAGCUCCAACCUCCCGCAAAACAGCAGCUUUGUUCAUUUCAUCUUGAAAAGCUCAGCCAUGUGCGGUUGCUGGUUUUGGUUCAGGAGGUCAGAGAGAGGAUUCAUCAUCUUUGUCUUUUUUCUUAGAAAAACCUGUUUACCUGAAGACUUCCCCUCAAUGUCACUGCCAAAGGGAAGCCUUGCAACCAGGCUGCCGGUUGCACGGAUCCAACAUUUGCUCUGUGGGUCUCAGCCUGGGUCAAACUCACACCUCUAAGGGAUGUUUGGAAAUGUGUGGAGUCAUUUUGGGUUGUCACAAUGAUUUAGCUGCAAUGCAUAGAACAGUCUUAUAUGAAGAAUUGUCCUGCCCUAGAAGAAAAAAAAAUGUCCCACCCAAAUGCCAAAAUGUCUGUGCCCCACUGAAAAGCUCCAGCCUCCGUAAGUGGAGGCAGUGAGUAGGGAAGGGCUGAGACAGAUGCAGGUCAGGCACCAGCCCUCACUCCUGCCACAUCCAGCUUGUAGGGCUGUGCCAGGGAGCAUGGGGAUGUGCCCAGGCCAGCGCCUGGCAUGAGCACAUGUUGGGGUCCCCAAGGCGUGCCUAAGGGGCGCUUUGGCCAGAGCACUGUGGCAAGGUCUGAGACUGGCAAAGAAUGACCCCGGGGACUGAGCAGUGGAUGCAGGUGGAAACAGAGUGCCUCUGAUUUUCCUCUGACCUUCUUGCCUCUCUUCAAAGCCUGCCUGGCCCUCGGAGGCUGCCCAGUGCAUCAUAGUACAUCCCACGGUGGCUCCCCAGAUGGAUUCUGACUCAGCAGCAGACGCAGCAGGGCAGGCAAAAGGAUGUGGGGGAAACCUCACUGUGGCUCAUCACCACGUCCAUCUGCCUCACCAAGUUCCCAGCAAGGAGUCGGCCCUGAUGGGUGUAUUCCUCAGCCACAGCUCCUCAGUGGGCCAGCAAGGUGACUCGAAGGGCCUCUGCCACCUCUAAGAUUGGGGAACAGGAAAGAUGGACCUGGCCCCACCCCAGCCUGCGGGUCACCACCCAUGGCGGGACAAGUGAGAAAAGUUGGCCUUGCUCACCGCUGGAGCCCAAACCACAGGUUUCAUUUCCCCUUGAUAAAGACAAUGUUUGCUAUUGUUGCAUCUGAUGGUAAAAGCAAGUCAUAUUCACUAUCAAAAAGUUUGAAAGGCGGCCGGGCACGGUGGCUCACACUUGUAUUCCCAGCAUUUUGGGAGGCCGAGGCAGGCGGAUCACAAGGUCAAGAGAUCGAGACCAUCCUGUCCAACAUGGUGAAACCCCAUCUCUACUAAAAAUACAAAAAUUAGAUGGGCAUGGUGGCGUGCACCUGUAGUUCCAACUACUUGGGAGGCUGAGGCAAGAGAAUCGCUUGAACCCGGGAGGCAGAGGUUGCUGUGAGCCCCAAGAUUGCACCACUACACUCUAGCCUGGCAACAGAGCGAGACUCCGUCUCAAAAAACAAAAAAAAAAAGGAAAAUAAGAAUCCAGCCUCAAGCCUGUCACCCAGGAACAAUCACUCUAGUUGGCUGGUGUAUUUCCCUCCAGUCUUUUUUUCAGUGUAUGUAUAUAAACUUUAUUUAUAUAUAUUAUUUUAUAGCCAGCUGCUUUUUUUCUUUUAAUUCUAAAUGAUGGGCUGUUUUUUGUUUUAAAACACUGUAGACCAGCCAAGUGUGGUGGCUCAAACCGGUAAUCCCAGCACUUUUGGAGGCUGAGGUGGGCAGAUCACUUGAGCCCAGGAAUUCAAGACCAGCCUGGGCAACAUGGCAAAACCAUGUCUCUACCAAAAAUAAAAAAAUUAGCCAGGCAUGGUUCCAUGCACCUGUAGUCCCUGCAACUUGGGAGGCUGAGAUGGGAGGAUCACCUGAGCCCAGAGAGGUCGAGGCUACAGUGAGCCAUGAUCAUGCCAUCACACUCCAGCCUGGGUGACAAGAGUGAGACCCUGUCUCAAAAACAAACAAACAAACAAACAAAAAAAAACACAGGCUGGGCACAGUGGCUCAUGCCUGUAAUCCCAGCACUUCGGCAGGCCAAGGUAGGUGGAUCACCUGAGGUCAGGAGCUCAAGACCAGCCUGGCCAACAUGGCGAAACCCUGUCUCUACUAAAAAUACAAAAAUUAGCCGGGUGUGGUGGCACACGCCUGUAAUCCCAGCUACUUGGGAGGCUGAGGCAUGAGAAUCGCUUGAACCCGGGAGGUGGAGCUUGCAGCGAGCUGAGAUUGUGCCACUGCACUCCAGCCUGGGCGACAGAGCAAGACUGCAUCUCAAAAGAACAAACAAAAACAAAAACCACUGUAGACCAAGCAAACUCAACUCUUCCUCCUCCCAUGCAGUGCUCCCUCUGCCUGUUUCCCCACAUCACCUGUGUGAUGGGGAGUGGGGGGGCACACAGCGAGGCUGAGGACUCAUGGAAUGACCCUUGGGAAGCCAGAAUGGGCACGGGUACACAUUUCCAAGCAGGAGACUCACUGAUCUACCCACCCCGGGUCCCCAACCACACUGGGAAUCCCCUCCAUGAACGGGAGGAGCCUCUAUCACACACACACACACACACACACACACACACACACACACACACGGAGACCACAGAGAGAACAUGGGCACCGUGGGCAACUGUUUGAAAAUUUCUGAGCUGCUUCUCAGAUAAAGAGAGCACUCUCAUCUUCCUUGUCCUUCUCCAGAAUCAGCAGAAAUCAAGUUUCUCACCUUCCAAGCUCAGCCAAGAAAUUUCAAUUCCAGUGACGACAGAGCUGGUGUGGGGUGGAUGGUUCCCAUGGGAAGGUGUGGGUCACAGGCUGGGCUCUUAGUACUGGGAAAGUCCCUAGGCCAAGUCAGAAUCCCAGGUGUCCUCCCUGAGCACCUGCUGUGUGCAGGAUGCCAUGCCAAACAUUUUAUGAAUUAGUUCAUCCCAUUCUUGUGACACCUCAGCAGGGGAGGUAUCAGUACCCCCAUUUAAUGGAUGAAGAAAUGGAGGCCCUGCAAAAUUAAGCCACAGGCCAACUUCCUCAUGGAUGGAUCAAGCAUCUGAAGCCAAGAGAGUGGACAUGGCCUGUCCAGACUGGGGACCAGCGCAAGGCAAGGUUUAUCCUGCUGGGCCAGGCCCGGCUGCCUCUCUCAGAGGGCACUGGGGAGUUUGCCCUGGACACAGGCUAGGGGCAAAGGCUCACAUGGACAUGUCGAGUCAGCUGCCAGAUCCUGGGCUCUAGGCCUCCCCAACAUCUUCCCAAUGCACCCAGCUGACUCCUGGAGUCCAGAAAGUCCAAACUGUAGAAGGUCACCCCAAGCGCCCUGGGACUUCGCACUCUGCGCUGGCUGACAUGUGGGGCUGGAAUGGCUUCUUCCACUGGGCGUGUAUGUGGGCGUGGGAAUGGACACAUGUGCUCUGUCUCCCGGCCCAACUGUCCAGUCACAGGCGACAGCAUCUGGGUCUGUGGCAAGUUCAGAGCUCCAGACCUGCCUUCCCCACUGAUGCCCUGUGUGACCUGGACCCGGUCUCACUCCCUCCCUGAGUCCCAGUUGUUCUUCUCUUCUGUGGAAUCCUAACCCUGUGAUUCCUGAAGGGGAGGGACAGUAAAGACACAUUUCUUUCUUUUCUUUUUCUUUUUAAGAGAGAAGAUCUGGCGGCCGGGCGUGGUGGCUCAUGCCUAUAAUCCCAGCACUUGGGGAGGCUGAAGCAGGUGGGU